This is a long non-coding RNA of Ctenopharyngodon idella (grass carp), 448 nucleotides long. RefSeq lists it as uncharacterized. The transcript is spliced from 2 exons. The record is from RefSeq and is a predicted model, not a curated record. NCBI's taxonomy places the organism in Eukaryota, Metazoa, Chordata, Actinopteri, Cypriniformes, Xenocyprididae.
UCACCGUUUCUCUUGGUUUCGCUCUUCUUUCAUGGCAGGACUAUUCUUAGAGAAGCUUCUGUAUCUGUUCCAGCAUUGUUGUUGUGCUUGUUUAAUGGCUCUGUGUGUUUGUUAGUGUGGUCUUGAAGAUGACGUGGAUUUCUGGGAUAAUUAAACUAGAAGGUUGACGUGGUUUCCAUGGGCCGGGUCAGGAAAUACCAGGCCAGAGUGAGAAAAAGGGCCUCUGUUUUCUCUUCUGUGUGUGUGUGUGUGUUUGAGAGAAGGCUUUGAUAUGCUCAGACCAGUAAUGCUAGCCUGCUACAGCCAAACUCCUGUCCCAGUUUCAAGCUGGUCUGUUGUAGUUAAUGAUAUCAUAUUUGAAAGGGACUCCAUUGGAGGGUUUUUGUGGAAAACAUGUUGUUCACCAGGCAAUAUCACACCCCCUGUCCUAUUCUAUAGCAUAAAUACA